UGCGUAGGCGGGCUAAUAAGUCAGUGGUGAAAUCUCUCGGCUCAACCGGGAAACUGCCAUUGAUACUGUUAGUCUUGAGUUCGGUUGAGGUAGGCGGAAUGUGUAAUGUAGCGGUGAAAUGCUUAGAUAUUACACAGAACACCAAUUGCGUAGGCAGCUUACUAGACCGACACUGACGCUGAGGCACGAAAGCGUGGAGAGCGAACAGGAUUAGAUACCCUGGUAGUCC
This 229-nucleotide ribosomal RNA is filed under the name uncultured bacterium. RNAcentral describes it as "partial 16S ribosomal RNA". It matches the Rfam family "Bacterial small subunit ribosomal RNA", at positions 568 to 796 of the family's 1533-position model. The record is from RNAcentral.